Macadamia integrifolia is the source of this 745-nucleotide long non-coding RNA. RefSeq lists it as uncharacterized. The transcript is spliced from 2 exons. The record is from RefSeq and is a predicted model, not a curated record. Lineage: Eukaryota; Viridiplantae; Streptophyta; Magnoliopsida; Proteales; Proteaceae.
UGGUGUGCUCUUUCUUACUGUUUGUCGCUUGGGGCUUGCUCAUCUCAUUUUAAUCCUCUUCCUUGUUUUAAUUACUUUUGCGUUGAUCCCCUUCAUCUCCAACCAGCGGGGUUGAAUGAGAAUUGAAUUUGGGGUCCAAUGCCGGCCCAAAAAUCCUCAGAUGGUGUAGUAGGGCUGUACUUAACCGGUUCCUACUUAACCCGGUUCAAUUUCCAUUUGGGUGAUUCUGUUAUUUCUGUCACCGUGUUUCGUAUACUGGGCAAUUUGGGAGCAUCGGAUAUCUCGAAGAGGACACCGUCUGCGGUCGCCAAAAGAAAAGCUCGGCCUUGCACAGAGGGAUAGGUAGAGAACAGAACCGUAGAAGCGUAGAGUGAAAGAAUUGAAAAUGUUCCACAGAGGAAGGUUUCUAUCGGCGCCGAUGGUGCUCGGAGCAGUGCUGAUUGGAGUUGUUUCUGGUAAAGCUAUAUUUGGACCUCCACUUGAGGAAUACUGGACAAAGAGACUUCAAGAACAGGCGGCCGCAAAGGAAACAGAUCCAGGUUCAAGUUGAACUCGUCUUGAAUGCGGUCUCCAUGUUGUGUGGUCGUACAGAACGGUGAAGUUACUGAAAUGUUUUGUAUCAUAUUUGGGAUUACUUCUGAGAUGAUAUAAUUACUGCGUUGUCGACUUUUUCAGUUGAACUAAAAUAACAUAUAGAAGAUGAAGAUGUUAAUUUGCAGUGUUUUAAUGAGUUCUGUUUCUUCAA